AUUGAACGCUGGCGGCAGGCCUAACACAUGCAAGUCGAGCGAGCGGCGGACGGGUGAGUAAUGUCUGGGAAACUGCCUGAUGGAGGGGGAUAACUACUGGAAACGGUAGCUAAUACCGCAUACCAUCAGAUGUGCCCAGAUGGGAUUAGCUAGUAGGUGGGGUAAUGGCUCACCUAGGCGACGAUCCCUAGCUGGUCUGAAAGGAUGACCAGCGACACUGGAAGAGAGAAACGGUCCACAACCCGACGGGAGGGAGCAGGUGGGAAUAUUGCACAAUGGGCGUAAGCCUGAUGCAGCCAUGCCGCGUGUAGGAAGAAGGCCUUCGGGUUGUAAAGUACUUUCAGCGGGGAGGCGUUACCCGCAGAAGAAGCACCGGCUAAAUCAGUGCCAGCAGCCGCGUAAUUC
This 405-nucleotide ribosomal RNA is filed under the name uncultured bacterium. Its description in RNAcentral is "partial 16S ribosomal RNA". It matches the Rfam family "Bacterial small subunit ribosomal RNA", at positions 30 to 526 of the family's 1533-position model. The record is from RNAcentral.